Molecule: non-coding RNA, 926 nt
Organism: Lolium perenne
Lineage: Eukaryota; Viridiplantae; Streptophyta; Magnoliopsida; Poales; Poaceae
Source: RefSeq, a predicted model, not a curated record
UUGGCCAAUCAAGUGAAGAGCUGCCACCACUCCCUCCCUCUAUAAAACCUCAUAGCCGGCCACCCCCUCCUCUCUUUGCUCUCAUUUUUCACUCCCCACUCCUUCCUCCACUCCCUCACACUCCUCUCAUACCUCUUACCCACGAGCUGCUGCUCCUCCCAAGCUCCAUGGCCGGCCAUGGCCAUGGAAAUCCACCUAGAUGAAGCUCCCCUCCUCCCUCAAGCUUCCCCUCACCAUGAGAGCCUCCCUCUCCUUCUUCUCCCCAACUCUAGAUGGUUUUCUCUCCUCUUCUUCUUCCUCCCUUGCUAAGAUUGGAUCUUGAUGCAGGUGCAUGUUGGUCCAAGCAUGGAGAAGCUUGAGCUAUCCUCAGAUCUGAAGUUCUUGAGCAAAAUCCAAAUCGAGUGAUUCAAAGUUCCGCAGAUAGGUAUUGAAAAGAUCUACAACUUGGCGUUGGUCUCAUACUCAAAUUCGUUACGGAUUUUGCAAGGUAAAUAAAGUUCUGCAAACAUGCAGAAUCACUGUUUGUGAGAUUUCUUCCGUUUUACGAAAUCUUUUUGAGCAAACUCAACUGUGGGUGAAAGCCCUCUUCAGUACCUUCAUUUUGGCGGUGGUUUCACUUCGAUUGACCUCCUGAAACUGAAAUGGUUCACAGAUCAAGAUCUAGUCAGAUCUGACUUUGUCGAAUUAAACCAGGAGCUUGGAACGAAUUUUUGAAUGAAACCAAUUGGGAUGUUAUCUACCAGGGGAUAUUUGGUUUAUACCAUGGUGAUACCCGAGAAAGGCAAUUGCUAAGUUGUGAUACUCUCAUACCUUUACUAGAUGCGAACGAUUCCGGAGAAGAAGAAGAAGUAGUUCGGACAAGGAUUUUAUUUAUAUUGACGGGAUUCUUAUAUUGAUGAAGUUGAAGAAGUCCAGGGACAAAUAAG